ACAUAUAUGGUGGGAAUCGGGACGAUUGUCGAGCGUGAACAAUCCUUUACACAAACGUUAUAGCAAUGGCCAACGAUGCUGCUAGUUCUCCUGUCUCCUCAGUAUCCGGGAACUGGAGCUCGAGACCCCUACCGCCCGGGGCUCUGACCGAUACCCUCUGACAGGAUCUUCCAUUGAACCGGGGCUGAGAUACUGCCUAACAUCUACAGGAAGGGGAGAGAAGAUGGCGGCGCAACGACAGUGCGCGCGGCCACUUCGGUGAUGAAUAUCUGUUAUUUGUCAAGUAGGGGACCGUGCACAAUCCUCAUUAAAUGGAGACAGACGUGAGAGCACAGCAGAACAUCUGGAAAACUUCUGAAAUGCCUGCUUUGCUACUGUGUGGUAACCGGAAUCUCCGGAGCUGAAGGCCCCGAAAUCCUCGGCUUUGCGUGUUUCAGCGGCCGGGAAGAGGUCGAAGGCGUUCGGCAGAGGAUAGCGCUUGGGAGGCUGUAUCGGAGAGGCUGCUGGGAAGCUCGGAUUUUUCAGACGGAUGGAGUCAGGGUCGGUUGUGGUCAGCUUCUUCCAAGGUAUCGGCAAGUUGACGGUGCCUGGAGGUUUAUGGCAGGGAGUUUCUCCCUUGUGCCGCCUGCUAUCGGGGACUCGGGAAUCGAUCGACUCGGGACUUUGAGAAUUUUUUUACUGUGCCUAUGGUCUGUUCUUUAUCAAAUUAUGGUAUUGCUUUGCACUGCUGUAACUAUAUGUUAUAAUUAUGUGGUUCUGUCAGUGUUAGUCUUUGGUCUGUCUUGUUUUCUGUGAUAUCACUCCGGAGAAACAUUGUAUCAUUUCUCAACGCAUGUAUGUAUUUCUAAAUGACAAUAAAAGAGGACUGAGUGUUCUCAUAAUCUAAUCUAA
This is a long non-coding RNA of Mobula hypostoma (lesser devil ray), 891 nucleotides long. RefSeq lists it as uncharacterized. The record is from RefSeq and is a predicted model, not a curated record. The transcript is spliced from 2 exons. NCBI's taxonomy places the organism in Eukaryota, Metazoa, Chordata, Chondrichthyes, Myliobatiformes, Myliobatidae.